RNAcentral lists this microRNA precursor (58 nucleotides) under Stegodyphus mimosarum. Its description in RNAcentral is "microRNA mir-67". The record is from RNAcentral. Lineage: Eukaryota; Metazoa; Arthropoda; Arachnida; Araneae; Eresidae.
UCCUCGCUCAAACGGGCUGUGCUGUUUAAUUACCAACACAACCUCCUUGAGUGAGGGA